ACAGGGAUUGCCCUAGUAACGGCGAGUGAAGCGGCAACAGCUCAAAUUUGAAAUCUGGCACCAGCCCGAGUUGUAAUUUGUAGAGGAUGCUUCUGGGCAGCGGCCGUUCUAAGUUCCUUGGAACAGGACGUCAUAGAGGGUGAGAAUCCCGUAUGUGACCGGCACGUACCCUCCACGUAGCUCCUUCGACGAGUCGAGUUGUUUGGGAAUGCAGCUCUAAAUGGGAGGUAAAUUUCUUCUAAAGCUAAAUACCGGCCAGAGACCGAUAGCGCACAAGUAGAGUGAUCGAAAGAUGAAAAGCACUUUGGAAAGAGAGUUAAAAAGCACGUGAAAUUGUUGAAAGGGAAGCGCUUGCAACCAGACUUCGUGGCGGUGUUCCGCCGGUCUUCUGACCGGUCCACUCGCCGCCGCGAGGCCAGCAUCGUCUGGGGCCGCCGGAUAAGACCUUGGGAAUGUAGCUCGCCUCGGUGAGUAUUAUAGCCCAUGGUGAUACGGCGCGCCCCGGGCGAGGUCCGCGCUUCGGCAAGGAUGCUGGCGUAAUGGUUGUCAGCGGCCCGUCUUGAAACACGGACCAAGGAGUCUAACAUCUAUGCGAGUGUUCGGGUGUCAAACCCCUACGCGUAAUGAAAGUGAACGGAGGUGGGAAGCGCAAGCUGCACCAUCGACCGAUCCUGAUGUCCUCGGAUGGAUUUGAGUAAGAGCAUAGCUGUUGGGGACCCGAAAGAUGGUGAACUAUGCCUGAAUAGGGUGAAGCCAGAGGAAACUCUGGUGGAGGCUCGCAGCGGUUCUGACGUGCAAAUCGAUCGUCAAAUUUGGGUAUAGGGGCGAAAGACUAAUC
Molecule: ribosomal RNA, 838 nt
Filed under: Lecanosticta acicola
Lineage: Eukaryota; Fungi; Ascomycota; Dothideomycetes; Mycosphaerellales; Mycosphaerellaceae
Description: eukaryotic LSU rRNA
Rfam family: Eukaryotic large subunit ribosomal RNA
Source: RNAcentral